This is a long non-coding RNA of Rhipicephalus microplus (southern cattle tick), 752 nucleotides long. The record is from RefSeq and is a predicted model, not a curated record. Lineage: Eukaryota; Metazoa; Arthropoda; Arachnida; Ixodida; Ixodidae.
UGCGUUUUGCUAACGUAGCGUCGCUGUGCCACUGUACGUGGGAUCUGCCUUUUUUUUUCGUAGACGAGUCACCAAAGCACUUAUUUACCUCAUCAACGAAAUUAGCCCAUGUGGUCAAGUUCUGCUCGUGAUUCUCAAAACACUCCAAUACGGUUCCCUCAAGAAACACUGAGAAGGAUCGAGGCUGCCUGUAAUGUCGUCCUGGAGUGUUGGACGAAAGCGGCGAAUUGUUCCCGUCAGAAUUCAUGAUGGUUGGUAGACGCGGAGGGCCUGCGGCUUCGACGAAACUACUGGUUGCUACUCCGUGUGUCCCUGCUGGAGGCUCAACUGCGUUACCCAGCACUCUCCGCCAAUUGCGCUGCGCUUCCUAUGACGGAUGGUGUUAUGCCAGGAGACAUGGUCCUUGUUCGGGAGGGAUUCUUCCCACGAGAACGAGCGCAGUUCUGGCGAACUCUCCCCCCUCCCAACGCCACUUUCCUCGCAAACGGUGGCGACCCACGUGCAGUUUCGGGGAAGACUUCGCCUCCUCCGCCGAGCCACGUACAGUUCCGGGGAAAGCUGCGUCUUCUCCACCGAGCGACGUGCGAUUCCGGGGAAGGCUUUGCCUUCUCCGCCAAGCACCGAAAACUGGUCUCAGAGAGAAGACCAAAACGUUAUCUAAGGCGUGUCAACCCGACGUGUGAGGAUUUCUGCCCCAGCCGACGUCGUCAUUGUGGCGGGCUUUGUAUAAACUAUAACCUGAUAUAGCAGAC